Non-coding RNA from Salvia splendens (bonfire salvia), 74 nucleotides. The record is from the annotation of a RefSeq genome assembly. NCBI's taxonomy places the organism in Eukaryota, Viridiplantae, Streptophyta, Magnoliopsida, Lamiales, Lamiaceae.
GGGGAUGUAGCUCAAAUGGUAGAGCGCUCGCUUUGCAUGCGAGAGGUACGGGGUUCCGAUCCCCCGCAUCUCCA